Molecule: ribosomal RNA, 327 nt
Filed under: Louisea nkongsamba
Lineage: Eukaryota; Metazoa; Arthropoda; Malacostraca; Decapoda; Potamonautidae
Description: partial small subunit ribosomal RNA
Source: RNAcentral
UAGUAUUUAGUUAUUGGUUAAUAUUUAUAUAAUAUAAAUUGAUUCUAUAGAUAAAUAAAAAGUGGAAUUCUUAUGUUAUUUUAUAGAUGUAGGAUAUUUAUAUAAGAGGCUAAAAAAUUUUAAAAAUAGACUAGGAUUAGAUACCCUAUUAUUUUAAAAUAUAAGUAAUAUACUAGAUUAUUAUAAGUUAGUUACUUUAAAUUUAAAAAAUUUGGCGGUAGUUUAGUCUAUUCAGAGGAACCUGUUUUUAAAUCGAUACACCACGUAAAAUUUUACUUGUUUUGUAUGGUUUGUAUACCAUCAUUGUUAGAUAAUUUUUAAAGAAAA